CUGUGGCAGGCUCGCGGCAGGGGGCGGGCUCGGCGCGAGGCGGGGACUCGGGCCGGCGCGGUGUGUGGGGGGCGGUGAGGGGGUCUCUGGCCCGAGCCCCGCUCGCCCGGCCCCCCUCGGACAGGGCUGGCCGCAGCGGAGAGGCGCUGAGGCGCUUUGUCUGUGCCCCGGUGACCUCCCGCCUUUGCCCGUCUCGCUUCCUCCGGCCGGCCUCUGCGUGUUCACGCCGGGGUUUCUUCAACGCCUGCCCGAGGGAAAACCAGUGGCCUGGAUGGAGCUGCUGGGGGCGUCCCCCCCACAGCCCUCUUGGCAAGCGGGGGGCGAGUUUGGCGGGGUGGGGGAGCAGAGAGAGGCUAAGAGGCUGCAUGUCCAGUAGCCUGCCUCCCGCACACAUGCGCAGUGGAUGGAUGCUUGGCUGGGCAGUUAUGGGGGGAAAUGCCGCUUGUCUCUGUAUAAAGCGGUGGUUCUCAACCAGGGGGCCGGUGUCCCUUGGGGGGCCACGAGCAAGUUUCAGGGGAUCUGCCAAGCAGGGCCGGCAUUAGACUUGCUCAGCCACGGGCAGAAAGCUGAAGCCCAACCGGAACCCCGGGGCCCCGAGCCCCGCCAUCCAGGGCUGAAGCCAAAGCAAUUUAGCUUUGUGGGUCCCCUGUGCCAUGGGGCCCAUGGCAUUUGCACUGCUUGCUACCCACUAAGGGAUGCCCUGGCUUUUGUAUGCAGAAAAACAGUUGUCGUGGCACAAGUGGGCCAUGGAGGUUUUAUGGCAUUUUGUGGGGGCUCAGAAAGAACAAGGUUGAGAGACCUCCUGGUCUAAAGGACAGAGACUGAGUCUGUUGUGGCAGCCUUUUUUAGAAUAAUCUGGGAGAUUUUCCGUUUGUUCAGUAAAUGUUCUUUGGGAUUCGCUGAGCAAACUUGAGAGAGUGAAGCCCAAAUGAUGAUUUCUGGAUUAUAACUCAUCUAAAAAGAGGCCCUGGAUAAAGCUCCUCCUCAACCAUAACUACAGCAGCACUGCCUAUGUUCAUCAAACCAUAGAAAUGUGGUACUGGAAGGGACCUCAAAGUCAUCAAAUCCAGCCCUCUGUGUUGAGGCAGCACCAAGUAAACCUGACAGAUUUAUGUCUAACCUCUUCUUAGAAAUCUCCAGUGAUGGGGAUUCCCCAACCUCCCUUGGAAGUCUAUUGCAGAACUUGACUAUUCUUAGGGUAUGUCUACACUAUGGGAUUAAUCCGAAUUUACAGAAUUCUAAUUUUGGAAACAGAU
Chrysemys picta bellii (western painted turtle) is the source of this 1256-nucleotide non-coding RNA. NCBI's taxonomy places the organism in Eukaryota, Metazoa, Chordata, Testudines, Emydidae. The record is from RefSeq and is a predicted model, not a curated record.